CUGCAAAGUGACUCAAAAGCCAUACAUUCCACUUCAGAAGAGCAGGUAUCCUAUUACUGUGGGCAUGACACAGGUCCAGGAUCUUCCUUCAGGCUCAGCUGUUCUAGCAGGGUCGGUUCCUCCUCUCAUCAACAGCACUCACUGCCAUCAGGAACACUUUUGGCUGGACUUUUUCCAGGUCAUAAUCCAAAACUCAUCAUGACUGCUUGGAAGAAGCUUAAACUAAAGGAUCAGUACAUGGAGACCAUGAUCGCAUUUCACAGAAAUUCCAGCACUCCAGAUCCAGAUUUUCAGAAGAGAAAGCUUUCUAACAGGCAUAUUUUUCAUUUCCAAACUUUCUA
This 341-nucleotide long non-coding RNA is filed under the name Gallus gallus (chicken). RNAcentral describes it as "lncRNA (ENSGALG00010007151.1)". The record is from RNAcentral. Lineage: Eukaryota; Metazoa; Chordata; Aves; Galliformes; Phasianidae.